AGGUAAAGGUAUAAAGGGCUCACGGAGGAUGCCUUGGUAGCGGGAGGCGAAGAAGGGCGUGGCCAGCUGCGAAAAGCCGCGUGUAGGUGCAAGCGACCAUAGAAGCGCGGAUGCCCGAAUGGGGAAACCCACUAGGCAGAGAUGUCUAGUAUCCUGAAAAGGAAGCGAACCUUGCGAACUGAAACAUCUUAGUAGCGAGAGGAAGAGAAAUCGAAGAGAUUCCCUGAGUAGCGGCGAGCGAAACGGGAAGAGCCUAAACCUAUAUAGUGUAAGCGUACGGGCGUUGCUAUAUAGGGGUAGAGGGAUAUAUACGGGCCUGACCGUACAGGGCCGGGAGAAGCUAAAGGCUAGUCGAACUAUCUGGGAAGAUAGACCGGAGAAGGUGAAAGUCCUGUAGGCGAAAGUCAGAGGCUAUCCUUGCAUAUAUCCCGAGUAACGCGGGGCACGAGAAAUCCCGCGUGAAUCUGGGGAGACCACUCUCUAAGGCUAAAUACUACCUGCUGACCGAUAGCGGAAAAGUACCGUGAGGGAAAGGUGAAAAGCACCCCGGGAGGGGAGUGAAAGAGUACCUGAAACCGUGAGUCUACAAUAAGUGGGAGCACGAAAGUGCGACCGC
This 616-nucleotide ribosomal RNA is filed under the name Mesotoga sp. SC_3PWM13N19. RNAcentral's name for it is "bacterial LSU rRNA". It matches the Rfam family "Bacterial large subunit ribosomal RNA", at positions 1 to 600 of the family's 2925-position model. The record is from RNAcentral. Lineage: Bacteria; Thermotogati; Thermotogota; Thermotogae; Kosmotogales; Kosmotogaceae.